This 561-nucleotide non-coding RNA is filed under the name Caenorhabditis japonica. Its description in RNAcentral is "Eukaryotic small subunit ribosomal RNA". It matches the Rfam family "Eukaryotic small subunit ribosomal RNA", at positions 1 to 589 of the family's 1831-position model. Lineage: Eukaryota; Metazoa; Nematoda; Chromadorea; Rhabditida; Rhabditidae. The record is from Rfam by way of RNAcentral.
UACCUGAUUGAUUCUGUCAGCGCGAUAUGCUCAAGUAAAAGAUUAAGCCAUGCAUGCUUUGAUUCAUAAAUGAAAUUGCGUACGGCUCAUUAGAGCAGAUAUCACCUUUCUCGGAAUCCUGAAAAGGAUAACUGCGGAAAUUCUGGAGCUAAUACAUGCGACUAUACUCCAAGCAAGGCGGGGUGCAAUUAUUAGAACAGACCAAACGUUUUCGGACGUUGUUUGUUGACUCUGAAUACCGUCGUUUACUGUCAGUUUCGACUGACUCUAUCCGAGAAGGGUGUCUGCCCUUUCAACUAGAUGGUAAUCUAUUGGACUACCAUGGUUGUUACGGGUAACGGAGAAUUAGGGUUCGACUCCGGAGAGGGAGCCUUAGAAACGGCUACCACGUCCAAGGAAGGCAGCAGGCGCGAAACUUAUCCACUGUUGAGUAUGAGAUAGUGACUAAAAAUAUAAAGACUCAUCCUUUUGGAUGAGUUAUUUCAAUGAGUUGAAUAUAAAUUAUUCUUCGAGUAGCAAGGAGAGGGCAAGUCUGGUGCCAGCAGCCGCGGUAAUUCCAGC